AUGCCGCGUGUGUGAAGAAGGCCUGCGGAUUGUAAAGCACUUUCACCGGUGAGGAAAAGCGUCGGGUUAAUACCUCGGCGUCUUGACGUUACCCGAAGAAGAAGCGCCGGCCAACUUCGUGCCAGCAGCCGCGGUAACACGAAGGGCGCAAGCGUUAAUCGGAAUCACUGGGCGUAAAGGGCACGCAGGCGGUCAGGUAAGUCGGGUGUGAAAGCCCUGGGCUCAACCCAGGAAUGGCAUCCGAUACUGCUUGGCUAGAGUCCGGUAGAGGGCAGUGGAAUUCCCGGUGUAGCGGUGAAAUGCUUAGAUAUCGGGAAGAACACCCGUGGCGAAGGCGACUGCCUGGACCGAGACUGACGCUCAUGUGCUAAAGCUUGGGGAGCAGAGAGGAUUAGAUUCCCUCGCAGUCCACGCCGUAAACGUUGAGGACUAGCCGUUGGCCCUUUUCGAAAGGCAUGGGGCGUAACUAACUCGUUUAGUCCUCCGCCUGGGGAAAACCGCCGCAAGGCUAACACUCAAUGGGAUUGGCCGGGGGCCCGCCAGAAGCGGUG
This 551-nucleotide ribosomal RNA is filed under the name uncultured Gammaproteobacteria bacterium. RNAcentral's name for it is "bacterial SSU rRNA". It matches the Rfam family "Bacterial small subunit ribosomal RNA", at positions 394 to 934 of the family's 1533-position model. Lineage: Bacteria; Pseudomonadati; Pseudomonadota; Gammaproteobacteria. The record is from RNAcentral.